CCGCCUGUGUGUAGGAGCUCAUUAAAGAGCCUUGUAUUUUGCUCCAGGAAAAGAAUAAUAGUAAGAGAAUCAAAGAAACCUGGGGGCUACAGAGAUGGCUCAGUGCCAGCGUGAGCACCUGAGUUCAUUCCUCAGCACCCACAUAAAAGACAGAUUGGCUGUGAACAUCUGGAACCCUAGUGUUGGGGAGCAAAGACAGACUAAGAAAGCUGAGAAGUCACAAGGCCAAGAAAGAGCAUUCUCGCAGAGCCGGCUAAGGACUUCAGGGUGGAGUAGCUGGUGGCAGCCUGUCCUCUUCACCCAAACUUAAGUAUUUUUUUCCUUCAGGUGUGGUGACACAUAUCUUUGAUCCCCGAAUUCAGAAGGCUGAGGUAAGAUUGGGAGUUAAAGGAUAGCCUGGCUUCACACUGGCUUUGUCUCAAAACACAAAACAAAACUUUUUUUAAAAAAAAAUACAGGUAGAAAAAGUAAAUUCUAAGGCUCUGUAACCAUAUAGAAGGGUGAGUGCUGCUCACAGUCAUGUGUUAUG
Non-coding RNA from Peromyscus maniculatus bairdii (prairie deer mouse), 529 nucleotides. NCBI's taxonomy places the organism in Eukaryota, Metazoa, Chordata, Mammalia, Rodentia, Cricetidae. The record is from RefSeq and is a predicted model, not a curated record.